Artibeus jamaicensis (Jamaican fruit-eating bat) is the source of this 163-nucleotide small nuclear RNA. RefSeq annotates it as U1 spliceosomal RNA. The transcript has a single exon. Lineage: Eukaryota; Metazoa; Chordata; Mammalia; Chiroptera; Phyllostomidae. The record is from RefSeq and is a predicted model, not a curated record.
ACCCUUACCUGGCGGGGGAGAUACUAUGAUCACGAAGUCGGUUUUCCCAGGGCAAGGCUCACCCACCACAGUCUGAUGUGCUGACCCCCGCGAUUUCCCCAAAUGUGGGAAACUCGACUGCAUGACUUGUGGUUGUGGGGGACUGGGUUCGCACUCUCCCCUG